AUGCCUGAAGAUUGUAAUGAAUUCAUGCAACAUGUAAUGCCACUAGCAUGCAGCAGAGGGCAAAAGAGCUUGAGCUUCACUGAAAAGCUUGAUUCCAACACCCCUGCAGCCAGUCUAGCUCUGUCAAUGAAUCCUCUACACAUCUACACCUGCAGCUCUGCUGGAGCCGCCACAAGCCCUGGGGAUGAGGAAACUCAUGGAUGCAGAAUUCUGAGGACAUUGAGAGAAGAGCCAGAUUUCAAGUUGUUUGAACACGGAACAGAGAUAAUUGAAGAAGUACCUCCUCAGAAAAUUCAGCAGCUGACCAUGUCGUUUCCACAUGAUCUGGAUAGAAGCUUAAUUUAUAUGGACGUGUGUGCAUGUUUACACAGUUGCUAAACAUCUUGGAAGAAGAGUGGUUGUCUCUCUGUGCCACAGAAAUUUCUAACCUCCAUGGGAGUAGAGAUUUGAUGACUGGGACACCAAAGGUUCAGUGGGUUGUGACACCACAGGACAGGAAAAUGCAUGACCAGAAGCCUAGGCUGACAAGGGGGAAGUCUAAGAGCUGUUCUGUGAGGUUUUGCAUAGAAAUCAUCAUAACAAUAUGUUGGCUACUUGGAUUGAAAUUUAAGAAAAAGAAAUCAUUAUAACAGAGAGUUUCUUUUUAUUAGUUAAAAUAUUUUAAGAAUGUGCAUUUGUUAAUCAUUUUUUAGUUUUAUCCAUGUUCAACAUGUACAAAGGUUAACAUGUCAAAUGGUUUUAUUUAUUGAAAGAUUUUAUUUAUUUAUUUAUUUAUUUAUUUAUUUAUUUAUUUAUUUAUUAUAAAAAGAGAGCAUGAGCAGGGGGAGGAGCAGAGGGAGAGGGAGAGGGACAAGCAGACUCCUUACUGAGCAUGGAGCUCGCCAUGGGACUUGAUCCCGGCACCUUGGGAUCAUAACCUGAGCUGAAGUCAGAUGCUUAACAAACUGAGCCACCCUUGCCCCUCAAACGGUUUUAUAAGGCUUCAAUUGAAAACCAGCCAUCUUCUACUGUCCCUUCCCAUUCCUGCUUUCUUCUCCACAGAGAUGAUCACUUCUGUUACCUAAAGCUGUUUCUUCUGGAGCAAGUGUGUCUCAUAUUUCUAAAAUAUAAGCUCAUACUACCAUUUUUCAUACUUUCAUUUGCAAAAUGGGUUCCACAACCCCCUAAGUUUGGUGUGAGCAUUAAAAGGAAUUAAUUCAGGGGCAUCUAGAUGGCUUGGUCAGUAGAGUGUGCAACUCUUGAUCCUGGGGUCAUGAGUUCAAACCUCACAUUGGACACAAAGCUUACUUAAAAAUAUAAAAUGAUAAAAAAAGGAAUUAAUUCAUAUAAAGCACCUUUAACAGUGUCUGGCACUAUUGUUAUAUUAACUUUUUGGUUUUAGUUAUUACCUAUUGUCUUCUUACCAUUAUGUUUAGCUCUAUUGUAACACCCCCUUUACACACACACAUACACAUACACAAACAGUUUCUCCUCCUGGCCAGUAUUUUUUAUUAUAAAUUUAAAAAAUUUCAUGUCGUAAAUAUCAUAAAUAAAAAAAAUUAUCAUAAAUUUUUAAGAUCCAUAUUUAGUGUUUACACUAUUAUAACCUCGAGUAUCUAUAGCUGAGCUACAUAGAAUAUUAUGAUUACAUUUUCUUACUGGAGUUAAUCAUUAUCUCUUCUUUUUACUUAUGUACUUGCUUAGUAUAAUUCUGACACUAAUUGUGAUGUGUGUGUUUUUUCCCACACCAGCAAAAAUUCUCUGACACCAGCUAAGUGUCCUGCAAUUCAAUUCAGUUCUGGCACCAUGUGCCUGGAGCUAGUGUCAGAUCCCACAGGUUAAGGGUUUGGUCCCACAAGACUGGCCUCUGUCCCAUUUCAGAUGCAAAAUAGCAAGUCCAGGUUGUCACUUGUGCUUCUAACUCACUGGCUAUAAAUCAGAGUUCAGGUUCCCUCCUUUGAUUUGAUUAAUUUGCUAAAGUGGCUCACAGAACUCAGAGAAACAUUUACCUUACUAGAUUACCAGUUCUUCAUAAGUGGAUAUAACUCAGGAACAGCCAGGUGGGACAGCUGCAUCGGGGGAGGUGUGUUGGGAAAGGGUGAGGAACCUCCACGUCCUGCCUAAGCAGCCACCCUUCCUAAAUAUCCAGGAAGCUUUCCAAACUCCAUCCUUUUGGGUAAUGAUGGAGGCUUUAUUAGCUAGGGAUGAUUGAUUAAAUCACUGGCCUUUGGCUACUGAGUCAACCUCCCAGCCCCUCCCCCCUUUCUGGAGGUCAGGAGGUGGGACUGAAAAUUCUAACCCUCCAAUCACGUGGUUGGUUCCCUGGCAACCAGCCCCCCCAUCCGUAGAUUAUACAGGGGCUUUCCAAAAGUCACCUCAUCAACAUCACAAAAGACAUUUGUGUUACUCUAAUCACUUAGGAAAUUCCAAGGGUCUGGGGAGCUCUGUGCCAGGAACAGGGGCAAAGACCAAAUGUAUAUUUAUUAUAAAUCAUAAUGUCACACUUCAUGUUCUGCAUGCUACUCCUUAAAUCAUUCCCAACCCCUCCACCAGAAAUGUAAAUCUCUUCUCAAUAUGUUCUACAAGUGUAAAAGUUUUGGGGGGAGAUACCCUUUCCAGGGUUCUCUCUUCUGCUGUCUGUGCUGGGAAGUUCUAAAAGUCAAUUGCACAGCUGUGACCUCGGGAUUGCCUUUGACUAUUAGCCCAAAAUUCCUUUUUGUUCUCCUUGACAGUAGAUCCUCUUUUUUUCCCCCCCUUCCCAUGAAAUCAUCUUUUUGCUUUACAUUUUCAUUUUGAGUGAGCACAUCCUUCAGUAGGAUGAAUAGGUUAGGUUAUGAAUGGUUAUGAAUGUCUAGGUUAUGAAUGUCUACAAAUGACUCACUUUCCUACAUGAUUGAUAGCUGGACUAGGUAUAGAAUUCUAAGUGGAAAAUAUUUUCCCCUUAGAAAUGUGAAGACAUUUUUUCUAGCUUCCCCCACAGCACUUGAGAAGUCUGAUAUUUUAUCUUUUGAACGAGGCUUGUUGCUUCCUCUCUGGAUGUGUUUAGUAUCUUCUCUCUGUCCUUGGAAUUCCAAAAUUUUACAAUUAUGUGUCUUGGUGUGGGACUUUUAAAAUUUAUUAUGCAGGUGGGGUACCUGGGUGGCUCAGUCGGUUAAGCAUCUGACUCUUGAUUUCAGCUCAGGGUCGUGAGAUUGAGCCCCAUGUGGGCUCUGUGCUCAGCGGGGCAUCUGCUUGAGGUUCUCUCUCUCUCUCUCUCCCUCUGUCCCUCAUGCUUUCUCUCUCUAAAAUAAAAUAAAUAAAUCAUUUUAAAAAAUCUAUUCUGCAGGGAACACAGCGAGUCUUCUCAACAUGAAAACUCAUGUCCUUUUGAGUAUUUUAAUCCCUCUAUUUUUCUCUUUCUGGAAUUUUUAUUCAAACAUUAUAAAUUUUGGUCUGGUCUCCAAAUUUUCUUCUUUUUUUUCUUAUAUUUCCAUCUCUGAUAUUUUUCUACUUUCUCAAAAUUUAUUUUCCAACCUUCCUAUUAUAUUUGCAUGUCUGCUGUCAUAGUUAAUUUCCAAGGGCUUUUAUAUAACCUCCUGAUAUCUUUCUUUUUGUUUUCCUCUGAACAUAUUAAUGACAGAAUUCUGAGGUUUUCUUCUGCUCCUUGCGUUAUUUCUAUUUCUACCAAGCUCUUCAAAAAUUUAUUAUUUGUUUUGAUCUCAGUGUUCCUAUUAGAAAGUUUUCUCAGGGGGAUCCCUGGGUGGCGCAGCGGUUUGGCACCUGCCUUUGGCCCAGGGCGU
RNAcentral lists this long non-coding RNA (3758 nucleotides) under Canis lupus familiaris (dog). RNAcentral's name for it is "lncRNA (ENSCAFG00845004961.1)". The record is from RNAcentral. Lineage: Eukaryota; Metazoa; Chordata; Mammalia; Carnivora; Canidae.